Molecule: long non-coding RNA, 3851 nt
Filed under: Paramuricea clavata
Lineage: Eukaryota; Metazoa; Cnidaria; Anthozoa; Malacalcyonacea; Plexauridae
Source: RNAcentral
CGCAAAUCAGGUGUUCCGCCAUAUUUGUUUUGUUGUGUCGACUGGAAAUAUUUUUGAACUUAUUCUGUUUUGGACUGUACUUAAUUCUUUGUAUUUUGUAAUCGACGUUAAAAAUGACAGGAUAAAAUGACAAACGGUAAGAUAUAGUGAUUUUAGGCUAAUGAUUGCUUUUUACAAAUACUGUACUGUAGUAUUUCGACAGACGACGACCUUGCAGAAAGUUGUACGUGGCAAGUUGUGUAUCGUGCAUUUCUCGAUACAAUGUAUGCCAUAAAUAAAUUAGUCAUAAUCUUCAUUUAAAUGGUUCAAACAGGCAUCACGUUAAUACAAAAUAGUAAAACAAUUUAAUUUAUUAUGAUUUUAAAUACAAAAAAGACUGAUAAAAUUAUGAGAUUGAAUAGACACAGUAGACACUCUCCCCUUGACGAGUAAAAUCGUCUGUCAUUAGACAGGGUAGUAUAAUAUGCUAGCAAUGAGACUCAGUGGGUUAAUCACAUCAAUAGCGGAUAAACACUUUAUAAUGUGAUGAAUACACAAGUCAAUUUUAGCCACAGUUAAAGCCCCGUUUACACGACCAAUUUUUAUGUGACAAUUUUUCAUAUUUUUAUGUGAGAAAUGUAUUUGGUCGUGUAGAUAAGACAACAAAUAAUUGUUGAUGCACUUGAUUCCUGUUUAAAAAAUAUCUAUGAACAGCGCAAUAAAACAUGGCGCUGACACUAAUUAUACUUUUACAAAUAUGGCGGGAGAAAAAAUAUGACAUUUUAUGUGACAAGUAAUCUACACGAGCAAUUUUUCGUAUGUGACAACUUUUAUUUGUCAUAUAAAAGCUAACACGCUAGCUUUUCAGCAACUGUAUUUGCCACACAAAAAUUGCCCAAUUUUCCUCGUCUACACAAGCAAAUAAAAAUUGUCACAUCAAAAUUGUCACAUAAAAAUUGCUCGUGUAAACGGGGCUUAUUAACAGUUUAUAAUGCAAAUGAUGUUAGAUGAAAUUUAAUUGGCUCAGCAAUGGUGUCAGAUUGCCUUCAUUGUAGGGAUGUGCCGAUUAAUCGGCCAAGCUGAUUAAUUUGCCGAUAAUCGGCCAAUUUUUAAUAAUCGGUAAUCGGCCGAUUAUUUCGGUAUAAUUGGCCAUUUGCCGAUUAUUGACCAAUUUCUUUUUCUAUUAGAAAUAAAUGAAAAUCUGUGUAUUCAUUGUGUUUUUUUGCACAUGUUUAACAAUCUUUUCAUGUUACAGAGUGACAUGCAGCUGCUACACAAAUACGUACAAAUUACAUCUUGCAUUCAUCUCACCUCUUAUCUCUUCAUCAGAAAUGCAAUUAUUAAUUAGUGAGAAAAUUGACACUUAUACAUGUGACAAUUUUUUUUGUGAUCGCCUGAUCGGACCAAUGUCCGAUCAAAAUUCCUUUUGCUCGGACGUUUGCCAAAUUUAGUCGGACAUUGUCCGAUGUCCGACAGUAAUUUGCAGCCCUGCCCUAAUGUGCCCUACUUUAUUAUGUUAUAUUAAAUAAUUAAUAUUUAUUUCUAUUCUCCAGUGUAUUCAUUGGAUGGUAUAGUUGUCUUCUCCCUUCUUGUAAUAUGUACAUGUGCAUACAUGAAAAGAGUUCCAAGGUUGAAAGGUUUUUUCCUGUCUGAAAAAAAAGGAUUUUUUGGUGUAUUCUAUAAAGGUCAGUCUUCAAGUCCUAUUUCUACAAGUUGCAUUUGUAGUAUCAUCCAAUGGACCGUUUAUAUCCGUACAUAAUAUAGCUAUUUUUUCAAAAAUUUAUGCAAUUUAAAGUAAAAUUUAACUCCUUGGAACUAUUAAAAUACAAGAAUUUAUACUUUAACUCAUAAUUUUUUUUGUUUUUGUUUCAAUUUCAGCUUCUGUAAUUGGUGUAAGAUUACACUGGAUGGUUGCUGUAACUUGUGCAAUAAUGGCUGUGUACAUAAUGAUUUUGAAAUAAUACAGAUUUUAGAAUGGGUAAAUUAUAUACUGUAUAACAAUGUUGAAAGUUGAAACUGUUUUGCACAGUAGUUGCAUUCGAAUAAGAUCCAAAAGCAAAGUUAACCUUAUAUUCCUGAACGUCUGAAGCUUAACCCUAACCUCAAAGACACAAUGUGAAUGCUUUCCAUCAUAAAUCUUGGGAUGGCUGUACGACUAAAUACGACAAACACUGUAUGGCUUGAGGUUUAAGGUUUAGAGUUUUGAAUGGCAAUAUUUUUUGAAAUAGCUGUACAUAAAUAAUAUAAUAUCAUAGAAUAAUAUUAAGAUAUAGAAUGCGUAUACUUGAUUCUUGAACACGAAUCAUGCCUCCACUUUUAAAAACAAAGUAAUUUCGCGUAAUCAUAAUUUGCUCUGAGACUGAGCGUCACUGUUUUGCUAUCUCAUGAAAUUACAAAAUGAAUGUUCGAAAUUUUCUACAUUUCUGUCUAGAAAAAUCGUUUGACACCCUAUUCUAUCGAGCAUGCAAGAUGCCUAAAAUCUAGAUUAUUUACCCUUACAUUAUAUACAGGGUUUAUAAAAAAAAGGUAAUCAAACUUCAGCGCGCUAUUGCAUCUGAUGACUUGAUUGCUCUUGUAUGACCGAGAGUUUUUCAUAUUUGGAAAGAUCGGGCUUUUAGCUGUUGAAUGAUAUGUUAGGGAAGCCUCACAUAUUGAUUUUGUCCACGAGAAACGUCAUAUGUUCGUUUCUCUGGAGACCCUCUCCACACCCCCUCCCCCCACCCCACCCUCUUAGAAACGUCACACAUAGUUACCUUGAAAUUUGAGUGUUUUCAAUGCAAGGAAGGCGUAGUUGUGACGUAAUUUCGAAAGAGUGUAUUGCUUUUUCUUUUGUUAUCACUGCUUUAAUUAGGCACAGAGGUGAAAAUAUGCGAUUCUGACUAACAUUUUUUAUCGGACUCGUACUUGCUUAUUUUUUCUUCACUUUGCAUAUGAAAAACAUGUCAUUCAAAAGCUAAAAGCCUGCUUUUUUCGAGCCUUAUGAAAAAAUAUUGUUCAUUGAAGUUGGAUUACCUUUUUUAUACACCCUGUACACGCGAGUUAUGGCAUUUUGAAAAUUUUGUUUUUCCAGAAACUCCAGUCAAAUGUCAGAGGGUCAAAUGUUUAGAAAAAUCAGAAUUUUGCAAACGCCGUCUCGCGCCCAAAUGUCCAAACAACGUGAAAUUUUCAGCGAGUAGACCGAAUUAGUGACGAUUUCAAUAGGCAAUUCCAGCUUUUAGUUUAUGCGUGCAGGGAGCAAUGGAAGUAAGGCAGCAUAUUGCUGAUUAUGCUGAAAAAAAUAAAAAUGGUGGCCGCGUGUAAACACGGAGUGAUAGCUUAUACUUGUAAAUAUUGAAGGCCAUUGAAAUAUUUCGGUUGUUUCGGCAGUUUCUGAAAUUUUUCAGCAUAAUCAGCAAUAUGAUACCUUACUUCCCGCCACCCCAUGUACUGCGCGCAUAUAUUAAAAGCUGGAAUUGGCUAUUCGGUGGUCCAUUGUUGCCAAAGAUCUAUAGCUGGUGAGAUAUGAAAAAUCGACGACGUCAACUAAUAUAACAGUAUAAAAUAUAUACUGAAUUUCUAUGCAGGAUUAACUCGUGCCAGGCAUGCAGUGGAACUGGCAAACAGGAACAAGUUUGCAAAAACUGAAUGAAAUUUAUAAAGAGCCCUCUGUGAACAGGGGCGAAACUUGGGGGACGAAAAACUUGAGGGGGGGCAAUCAAAAUGCGAAAAAUUCCAAUAAAAUUAAAUGAAUUAUGAGUACAAUUUUAAAAGUUAAAAUGUAGAGUUAUUAAGCAACUUAUUACAGCUAGCAAACAAUAUGUUUCGCCCCUGCUGUGAAAGUCUAGUUACACCGCAUUUUUAAUAUAUUUCUAUUAAAACCAUAACAAAUUUGA